This is a long non-coding RNA of Fukomys damarensis (Damara mole-rat), 829 nucleotides long. RefSeq lists it as uncharacterized. The transcript has 3 exons. The record is from RefSeq and is a predicted model, not a curated record. NCBI's taxonomy places the organism in Eukaryota, Metazoa, Chordata, Mammalia, Rodentia, Bathyergidae.
GUGUCGGUGUUGGCGUGCACAUCUGUGUACAUGAAACCCCCUGCCUGUGUGUCCUCAGUGCCCUCGUGUUUCCAUCGGAAUCCUCCAGCGAUCCGUUGUGCACCUCUCCCAGCGCGUGUGAGGGUUUGGUGAGCCCCUGACACCUCUGUUGGUGUCUGUGGACGUGACCCAGGCCUUCCUGCGGCGUCCAUCCGUGUCACUGCCCCUGUGUCAGCACUCAUGUUCUUCCCGCACCCUGUGCCUCUGUCUCACGCACAUCUGUGAGUCUGCCCACGUCCUUGUGUCCGUGAGUGUCUCUGCGGUGGUGCUCAUAUGUCGGUGCGCUGCUGGGUGUGUACCUCUUCCCUUGACAGUGUUAGCUCUGCCUCGGGAUGCCGCACGGCUGUGUCCAGCUGAGAAGAAACAGCUUCUUGUGGAUCUGCAGCAGUCCUAGGUUGUCAGUCUGUCUUGGCCUUGACGGCCUCCCUGCUGCCCUCUGCAGCAAGGGUGGAUGGUGGCCCCACCCUCUGUUGGGACACCUGCAGCCGGGCUUCCUCGCCCUCUGCCCCAUGACUCCUCUGCCUGGCUUGUCUGAGGAGAGUGCCUUUGGCCAUCGCUGGACCUUUUCUGGAAUUUGACCCAAGGUGCUCUUCCUGCCGUCUGCAUCUCUGGUUGGGCAGCGCCAGCCUGGACAUGGUUCUGCUCCUGUGCUGACUGUUGGUUGGCCCCAACGGGGCAGUUCUGCACCAUCUGGUGGAGUAUAGGUCACUCAUGCGGCUGCCCUCAACUGGGAGCUACCUGCAGCUGCAACACUUGAGAUGGCCACUCGCCCUCCAGAGCUUCUGCCCAC